Molecule: ribosomal RNA, 502 nt
Filed under: uncultured bacterium
Lineage: Bacteria
Description: partial 16S ribosomal RNA
Rfam family: Bacterial small subunit ribosomal RNA
Source: RNAcentral
GAUUAACGCUGGCGGCGUGCCUAACACAUGCCAGUCGAGCGGCAGCGAGUUUUACACUGAAUUCUGGAAGCUUCUAGUUGAAAGAGAAGAUUUAUUCAAGAAUUUUGUGUAAAAUGUCGGCGAGCGGCGGACGGCUGAGUAACGCGUGGGAACGUACCCCAAAGUGAGGGAUAACGCAUCGAAAGGUGUGCUAAUACCGCAUAUGGUCUUCGGAUUAAAGCCUUCGGGCGCUUUGGGAACGGCCUGCGUAAGAUUAGAUAGUUGGUGGGGUAAUGGCCUACCAAGUCGACGAUCUUUAACUGGUUUGAGAGGAUGAUCAGUCAGACUGGAACUGAGACACGGUCCAGACUCCUACGGGAGGCAGCAGUGAGGAAUCUUCCACAAUGGGCGAAAGCCUGAUGGAGCAACGCCGCGUGCAGGAUGAAGGCCUUCGGGUUGUAAACUGCUUUUAUAAGUGAGGAUUAUGACAGUAACUUAUGAAUAAGGAUCGGCUAACUACGUG